Chelonia mydas (Green sea turtle) is the source of this 991-nucleotide long non-coding RNA. RefSeq lists it as uncharacterized. NCBI's taxonomy places the organism in Eukaryota, Metazoa, Chordata, Testudines, Cheloniidae. The record is from RefSeq and is a predicted model, not a curated record. The transcript has 2 exons.
GGGAACGGCGCCCGGCCAGCCAAUGGUGAGGCGGGGGCGCGGUACAAAGCCGGAAGCGGCUCCCGCGCGAGAGAGCGGCGGCUGCUCCAGCAUCCAGAGCAAGGAAGGAGCCGGAGCGGUGUCGGGCCGCUCCCCGCGCUACACGAGGGGAAGGUACCGCGCGCUCCCCUCCCUUCCCCUCAUGCUACAGACCCUGGGAGCAGAGGGGAAACCUUCGCAGAGCGGGGCUCCUCCUGCCAGAGGGGGUCUGGGGGAUGCUCUCCCCAGGGACGGGGCCGCCCGUGGUGAUGGUACGGGGCGGUACCUGGGCAGAGGUUUCCAUGAUGCCUGAAAUCCCCCCCUGGGGAAACACACUAUGGCUUGUCAUCUAUAUACAGACUAACAUGGCUACCCUGUGAUACUUGACACCUAUUCUAAACUUUUUAUUUUAUUAUUAAAUUGCACAAGCUUUGAAGAACUAGCAUAUGGAAUUUUACUUAUAAUCUUUCUGGUUUUAUAUAUUGGUUCUUACCCAGGGUAUUGGCCAAGGUCAGAGCUCUGUGGGAAUCAGAACAUGUUUUAGGCAAGCACUUGAAUUCAAAAUGGAAGCUUCAUAUGCCUUAUGCUCAGGGUUUAGCUGAGGGCCGUAUUUGGGGGGUGGGUCAUCAGAGCUAGAUGCCUCAUUAUCUAUGGCCCCUGCGCCCUCUCCCCCAGCACUGCUACUCUCUACCAUGGUGGGGUGUGUGUGUGAUGACUAUUCCAGGAACAGUGGGGCCUGUUCUAAUGUAUGGUAGCUUUUUCAGGGGAUUGCAAUUAACAUUUGUUUUUGCCACUGCAUAGGUAUCCCUUUUAUUUAAGAAAAGUUGCUUCUUAUUGCUAAAUAAAACUCAGUGCAGCUUACAGUCACAAAAAAAGGGUGUAAAUAACAUUUUAAGUCUUAUAGGAUUUAAAGACAGAUGAUAAAGUGUUUGAUUAUAUCUUGCUGCUUACUUUGUAUAAGAAAGUGCUAGUG